RNAcentral lists this non-coding RNA (29 nucleotides) under Mus musculus (house mouse). Lineage: Eukaryota; Metazoa; Chordata; Mammalia; Rodentia; Muridae. The record is from RNAcentral.
UGGCACCUUUCCAGGAGAAUCUGAGCGGC